GGUCAGGCUGCUUUGCACCCCGGGCUCCAGGCAGGGUGUGGGGCGACUGGCACCCAACGGCGACCUGUCCUGCGACAUCAGGUCCAUAAACUCCUUGCAAAUCUCCCUGAAGACAUUAAAUGAGAAUAAGUAGAAGUGAUUGAACCGCUUGAAGAUCUUGACUCACUUGGUGGCAUGCAGCAUACUGCGUCGUGUGGGCAGCUGAUCUGGGUCACUUUGUCUGCACAGAUACUCAGCUGUGGCCCGGGCAGGGAACUCGGUCUCGCACACAUACCCGAAGUCCCGUGCGAGGUGAACCGCCUCACCUGAGAAGAGAGCGUGAAGAUUGAAAAAAUGGAACUUGAAUGUGCUGACUCAAAACUUGAGUACCUUCCACCAGCGCUGUGAGGAGUGUGACGUUGGCUGCCUUUCGUCGACCGGCAGGCAGGUUGAGGCCGAUCUUCUCCAGACGUUCUCGCAGACAGCGGCCCCCGUUUUUGGACUUGGCUCUGAAGGAGAAAAGGACUCCUCCCAGCAGUGAGGCGUUGAGGCACUCAGGUGGAGCCAGGCGUCUCUGGACUUCUCCAACUGUGACCUUGUACUUAGAGGUGGAGCUGAGGAGCGACAAGCGGCCCGGGACAGAGCAGAAAACCUCUGCAGGGUUGGACACACAUCCCAAACCCAGGCCUUCUUUAGUGAGGGACAAGGCAGAGACCGCUGAGCCAUUUAGCUUUGAUGGGACUGGAACUGUAAGAAGAAACAGAAAGCAGUUUAGGGUUUGUGUGCCACCACAGGUGAGUGAAAUCUUAUUUUAAAGAAAGUGACGAUUUAUAAAAAUGUGAUAAUUUGUGCUUUUGGAUUCGCCCCUAUGUUCGAAAACCUUUUUAAGAUGCUCUCCCACAGGUUGACAUCUGUUGUCUCAGUGACACUGUGUUUAAUUUCUGUUUCUCACUCUUUAUCUUCAAAUGGGUGUUGCAUCUCCAUUGGGGGAAAGCUUUAUUCCAUCUGUUGUGCACACAGUCAUUUUCACUUGUUGUGUUGGUAAUUAAAGUUUUCUGGCAUCUUAAAAAUCUGACUUUCAAAUGAACCCAACGAUUACUGUGCCGAAAAUAACACAAUGUAAUAAAAUGGCAAACAUAAAACAGAAAAUUAGGCUGUUAUGCAUUAACCCAUUUUAAAGCAGACAUUGUAUAAAGAUUUGUGCCCCAGUAAACCAAGGCACUUAAAGGAAUGAGACCUAAACCUCCAUUCAAACUCUAAUAAUGAUUAGUGUUCUGGGAAGAACAGACUAUCAUUGGCUUUUAAUUUGGGCUUGAGUAUUUUUGUUACAUCAUUCCUAAAAACCUUCAUUUGUUUUCAAAAGAUUAGCCUCUAUGCAGACACUUAAUCGAGCAUUUGCUUAUGGCACAUCUGUGUGGGCUGGAUUUUCAAGCACACUUCAAUAGAACUAGAGAAAAUGCAGAGUAUGCAUGUAUUAGGAAAAUCUGCUACAUGGGUGUAUGAAUUAUUCAAAAAGUGGAGGGUUGGGGGGAACAUUCUGGCUAAGAAAAAACUGCCCAAGGUGACUCUGUUUACCUGGCUUGGUUGGUCUGUUGGCUGGUUUUAGAGAGAUUCGGGCACCUUUAGCUUGAUAGGGCUAAGAGACCAGGUAAGCAACAGCUUUGCCAAGCUAGGAAACCAUCUAAACUAACUCCAGCGUUAGUUUACCCAAAUAAACCAUGGUUUUAUUAUAGGCCUGUUAGUUUAACCGUUUUUCUACAGAUACAAUGGUUAAAUUAGUUAGUGUAACAAAAUCAUGGUUAAUUUGUGGUUGCCAUGGUUUAACAAUAUUUGGGGUUUUAUUUGACCCAAAUUGGGUUGAAAAAACCCCUCCACCUAUAUUUGUUCUAAAGAACCCAACAAAAUAUUCAAGAAGCCUAACAAAGUUAAAAAAAUUUGUUUACUUUUUUGUUUGUUUUUAAUUAGCUUAAAAAACUCAAACGCUACAAGUCGCGUUUGUUUAAAGUAGGCCUACGUUUUAGGUUAAAAAUGCAGUUUAUUUUAAAGAACACGUCGACGACAAUAUAAGUAGGCUACAAGAAGGCCUUCUUUAAGACUAUUAGAAGACAGUUAGAAAACUACACUGAAAAAAAUUAAUCUGAGUGGAUGUAAAUGUUAAGUAAUUAAAAUGCGUGAUAUCAACAAUAAAAUGUUAAGUUUGUGUCUUUACUUUAAUAUAUCUAGUUUUAAAUUAAUCUGCAUUUGUUCAAAAAACAAGAAAAUGUGUAUUUUAUUCCUUUACUAAAUUAAUCUAAGUAAUCCCAGCCAAGCUUUUUAGGUACACACGCACAACAAACAAUACCUUGUUUUAUUUACUCACUUGGUAAAAAAAAAAAAAAAAAAACUCCCCUUCCUGUUUCGUUGGUCUGGAAACCCCUUGCAUUCCUAACGAAGACGAACACGCGGACUGAAUUUAAGGUGAUUCUCCUGACAAUAGGCUACACUGGAUAAAGGUUUGUGAUGACGAUGAUGCUGCAGCCAUCCAAGAGGCCAUCACUUCAUUUGUGCUCAACAUCUUUGUGGUCAGCAAAGCCAGGGAUGGAGGUCUCGAGAAGAAAGUUGGAAUAGCCAUUGAGGGAGCGGAGGUCCUUUUUUGCAUUCCCAGUGUAGCACAUGCUUGCUCCUACCUUAUGGGCCUUAUUUAUGCUUUGGAACUAAGCUACCCAGAGAAACUUAAAUACACCUUUGAGGUAUUUCAGAAGAUCUUCCUGGAGCUGGAGGAUGUUAACAAAAACAUGUCCUCCAAAAUCCACGAUCACAAGAUCAGCUUACUGGCCUAAAAGCGAUACAGACAUUGUUGAAUGUAGAGGGUUUGAGUCCCUCUGGUAAAGUUUUACUGUUCAAUUUCUCAGGUCUUUUUCAGUGCACUUUCUCAAGUCACACUAAUCCUAUUUCAUAUAGGGACCAUGUUUGUGAGUGUUAAUGUUAAAGGUGCAGUUGAAGGAAAGAUGACAGUUAAGAAGUCAGAAACUAUAUUGCACAAUGUGAGUUUUUUUCAAUAGAAACCCAAAGAAACUGAAAUGUAGGUUUCUUAGAAGAUCUCCAUUGUCACACGGGGAUCAUACAUAUGAUCAUACAUGUGCAAGCGUGUUGUUUUAAAGUCUUAAGAGUAUGUUACUGUACAGGACUGAAAAACGCAAUUUUAUAGAAAAUAUUCUGUAAAUGUGUCUGAAUGGUUUCUUAUGAAGACAAUAAAGCCUGUCAACUUUCACUUAA
Carassius auratus (goldfish) is the source of this 3234-nucleotide long non-coding RNA. RefSeq lists it as uncharacterized. The record is from RefSeq and is a predicted model, not a curated record. The transcript is spliced from 6 exons. NCBI's taxonomy places the organism in Eukaryota, Metazoa, Chordata, Actinopteri, Cypriniformes, Cyprinidae.